UAGUUUGAUUAUGGCUCAGAACGAACGCUGGCGGCAGGCUUAACACAUGCAAGUCGAGCGAGACCUUCGGGUCUAGCGGCGGACGGGUGAGUAACGCGUGGGAACGUGCCCUUCUCUACGGAAUAGUCCCGGGAAACUGGGUUUAAUACCGUAUACGCCCUUCGGGGGAAAGAUUUAUCGGAGAAGGAUCGGCCCGCGCUAGAUUAGGUAGUUGGUGGGGUAAUGGCCUACCAAGCCUACGAUCUAUAGCUGGUUUUAGAGGAUGAUCAGCCACACUGGGACUGAGACACGGCCCAGACUCCUACGGGAGGCAGCAGUGGGGAAUCUUAGACAAUGGGCGCAAGCCUGAUCUAGCCAUGCCGCGUGAGUGAUGAAGGCCUUAGGGUCGUAAAGCUCUUUCGCUGGGGAAGAUAAUGACGGUACCCAGUAAAGAAACCCCGGCUAACUCCGUGCCAGCAGCCGCGGUAAUACGGAGGGGGUUAGCGUUGUUCGGAAUUACUGGGCGUAAAGCGCACGUAGGCGGACUGGAAAGUUGGGGGUGAAAUCCCGGGGCUCAACCUCGGAACUGCCUCCAAAACUAUCAGUCUGGAGUUCGAGAGAGGUGAGUGGAAUUCCGAGUGUAGAGGUGAAAUUCGUAGAUAUUCGGAGGAACACCAGUGGCGAAGGCGGCUCACUGGCUCGAUACUGACGCUGAGGUGCGAAAGUGUGGGGAGCAAACAGGAUUAGAUACCCUGGUAGUCCACACCGUAAACGAUG
RNAcentral lists this ribosomal RNA (756 nucleotides) under uncultured Paracoccaceae bacterium. RNAcentral describes it as "bacterial SSU rRNA". It matches the Rfam family "Bacterial small subunit ribosomal RNA", at positions 9 to 811 of the family's 1533-position model. Lineage: Bacteria; Pseudomonadati; Pseudomonadota; Alphaproteobacteria; Rhodobacterales; Paracoccaceae. The record is from RNAcentral.